This 336-nucleotide small RNA is filed under the name Arabidopsis thaliana (thale cress). RNAcentral describes it as "ATSL148430". The record is from RNAcentral. Lineage: Eukaryota; Viridiplantae; Streptophyta; Magnoliopsida; Brassicales; Brassicaceae.
AAAAAGUUUCUUGUUUAUGUUGCUGAUUUGGAUUAUUUGUUCAGCUCCGUUAGAGUAGAAAGGGAAACAAACAAUCAAGUGUCGUUAGCUCAAUUGGUAAAGAUCUAGGCGAAGUUUAAAGGUCGCCGGUUCGAAUGACGCUUGAGACGAAACUAAUAUUACAUGUUGUGGUUUCGGGCCUGGGAGGAUUACGGGUUUCGGCCCAGAGCCUCUUAAUAUUUAAAAAAAAAGAAAGAAAAAAAAGAAAAAAGAAGGGAAACAAACAUCUCUUGACAAAUAGUAAGGCAAAGCAAUAUUUAGUCUUCAAACGAAAAUUUUGUUUGCUCUUCAUGUUAU